RNAcentral lists this ribosomal RNA (549 nucleotides) under uncultured bacterium. Its description in RNAcentral is "bacterial SSU rRNA". It matches the Rfam family "Bacterial small subunit ribosomal RNA", at positions 777 to 1325 of the family's 1533-position model. The record is from RNAcentral.
AAUAGAUACCCAGGUAGUCCACGCCGUAAACGAUGAGUGCUAAGUGUUAGGGGGUUUCCGCCCCUUAGUGCUGCAGCUAACGCAUUAAGCACUCCGCCUGGGGAGUACGGUCGCAAGACUGAAACUCAAAGGAAUUGACGGGGGCCCGCACAAGCGGUGGAGCAUGUGGUUUAAUUCGAAGCAACGCGAAGAACCUUACCAGGUCUUGACAUCCCAUUGACCACUAUGGAGACAUAGUUUUCCCUUCGGGGACAACGGUGACAGGUGGUGCAUGGUUGUCGUCAGCUCGUGUCGUGAGAUGUUGGGUUAAGUCCCGCAACGAGCGCAACCCUUGUUCUUAGUUGCCAUCAUUUAGUUGGGCACUCUAAGGAGACUGCCGGUGACAAACCGGAGGAAGGUGGGGAUGACGUCAAAUCAUCAUGCCCCUUAUGACCUGGGCUACACACGUGCUAUAAUGGACGGUACAAACGGUUGCCAACCCGCGAGGGGAGCUAAUCCGAUAAAACCGUUCUCAGUUCGGAUUGUAGGCUGCAACUCGCCUACAUGAAC